AGCUGGUCUGAGUGCAGUGGUGUUUACAAUUAAUUCAUAGCAGCCAGUUACAGAGUCUUUGUUCUUUCUUCAUUCCGUCUGCUUCACCUGACUAGAAAA
This is an unclassified non-coding RNA of Capra hircus (goat), 99 nucleotides long. It matches the Rfam family "Y RNA". Rfam says of the family: Y RNAs are components of the Ro ribonucleoprotein particle (Ro RNP), in association with Ro60 and La proteins. The Y RNAs and Ro60 and La proteins are well conserved, but the function of the Ro RNP is not known. NCBI's taxonomy places the organism in Eukaryota, Metazoa, Chordata, Mammalia, Artiodactyla, Bovidae. The record is from Ensembl.